Molecule: unclassified non-coding RNA, 375 nt
Filed under: uncultured bacterium
Lineage: Bacteria
Description: contains 16S-23S intergenic spacer region
Source: RNAcentral
UCACAGUUUGCACUGGCAGUCUUGUUAGAGUUCCCGACUUGACUCGCUGGCAACUAACAACAGGGGUUGCGCUCGUUGCGCCACUUAAGGCAACACCUCACGGCACGAGCUGACGACAGCCAUGCACCACCUGUGCAGGCUCCGAAGAGCGUCGUCUUUCAACGAUUUCACCCUGCAUGUCAAACCCAGGUAAGGUUCUUCGCGUUGCCUCGAAUUAAACCACACGCUCCGCUGCUUGUGCGGGCCCCCGCCUAUUCCUUUGAGUUUCAGCCUUGCGGCCGUACUCCCCAGGCGGGGUACUUCCUGCGUUAGCGCCGGCACUCAGGGGGUCGCUCCCCCAAGCACCUAGUACCCAUCGUUUACGGCGUGGACUAC